Molecule: ribosomal RNA, 253 nt
Filed under: uncultured bacterium
Lineage: Bacteria
Description: partial 16S ribosomal RNA
Rfam family: Bacterial small subunit ribosomal RNA
Source: RNAcentral
AACGUAGGAGGCGAGCGUUAUCCGGAGUUACUGGGCGUAAAGCGCGUGUAGGUGGUCUGUUGCGUCUGCUGUGAAAUGUCCCGGCUCAACCGGGAGUAGGCGGUAGAUACGGGCAGACUAGAGGGUGACAGAGGAGCGUAGAAUUCCGGGUGUAGUGGUGAAAUGCGUAGAGAUCCGGAGGAAUACCAGUGGCGCAAGCGGCGCUCUGGGUCGAGCCUGACACUGAGACGCGAAGGCAUGGGGAGCGAACGGG